GACGAACGCUGGCGGCGUGCUUAACACAUGCAAGUCGAGCGAUGAAGCACCUUCGGGUGUGGAUUAGCGGCGUACGGGUAAGGAACACGUGAGGAAUCUGCCUUCCACUCUGGGAUAACUCCGGGAAACCGGGGCUAAUACCGGAUAUUUUCAACUGGCGGCAUCGCCGGUUGAAGAAAGUUUUUCGGUGGAAGAUGACCUCGCGGCCUAUCAGCUUGUUGGUGGGGUAAAGGCUCACCAAGGCGACGACGGGUAGCCGGCCUGAGAGGGUGACCGGCCACACUGGGACUGAGACACGGCCCAGACUCCUACGGGAGGCAGCAGUGGGGAAUAUUGGGCAAUGGAGGAAACUCUGACCCAGCGACGCCGCGUGAGGGAUGAAGGCCUUCGGGUUGUAAACCUCUUUCAGCAGGGAAUAAGCGAAAGUGAAGGUACCUGCAGAAGAAGCACCGGCUAACUAUGUGCCAGCCGCCGCGGUAA
This 480-nucleotide ribosomal RNA is filed under the name uncultured bacterium. RNAcentral describes it as "partial 16S ribosomal RNA". It matches the Rfam family "Bacterial small subunit ribosomal RNA", at positions 28 to 523 of the family's 1533-position model. The record is from RNAcentral.